GACGAACGCUGGCGGCGUGCUUAACACAUGCAAGUCGAACGGAAAGGCCCUGCUUUUGUGGGGUGCUCGAGUGGCGAACGGGUGAGUAACACGUGAGUAACCUGCCCUUGACUUUGGGAUAACUUCAGGAAACUGGGGCUAAUACCGGAUAGGAGCUCCUGCUGCAUGGUGGGGGUUGGAAAGUUUCGGCGGUUGGGGAUGGACUCGCGGCUUAUCAGCUUGUUGGGGGGGUAGUGGCUUACCAAGGCUGUGACGGGUAGCCGGCCUGAGAGGGUGACCGGCCACAUUGGGACUGAGAUACGGCCCAGACUCCUACGGGAGGCAGCAGUGGGGAAUAUUGCACAAUGGGCGGAAGCCUGAUGCAGCAACGCCGCGUGCGGGAUGACGGCCUUCGGGUUGUAAACCGCUUUCGCCUGUGACGAAGCGUGAGUGACGGUAAUGGGUAAAGAAGCACCGGCUAACUACGUG
This 468-nucleotide ribosomal RNA is filed under the name uncultured bacterium. RNAcentral's name for it is "partial 16S ribosomal RNA". It matches the Rfam family "Bacterial small subunit ribosomal RNA", at positions 28 to 507 of the family's 1533-position model. The record is from RNAcentral.